Molecule: long non-coding RNA, 2349 nt
Organism: Triplophysa rosa
Lineage: Eukaryota; Metazoa; Chordata; Actinopteri; Cypriniformes; Nemacheilidae
Exons: 4
Source: RefSeq, a predicted model, not a curated record
GUUGUUAGGUUUAGGUAUUGGGUAGGAUUAGGGAUGUAGAAUAUGGUCAUGCAGAAUAUGUGCUUUAUAAGUGCUUAUAAACAGCCAAUAUGCUAAUAAUAGGCAUGCUAAUAUGCAACUAGUUGAUAGUGAGAAUUGGUCCUUAUACUAAAGUGGUACCAUAAAUCUUAUAACAUUAUUGAGUUGUGGUGUAAAAACAGUUAAAUACUGGUAGUCUGUGUAAUAAGCCAGAUGAGUCAUAUGUCUUUUGUCUUUUACUGCAAGGAAGAAGACUUCAGUCCAGGAGGAUGACUCCAGUUCAGGAAAAACAUACAGGACCAAAGUCAGUUACAAAUAAUGUUUUUUUUCAAUUAUAUAUUGUAUAGAUCUUACAAUGUAGUUUAUAUGUAUUAUAUCAUUUUAAAAUGAUUGUGUUUUAUACAUUUCUAAUUUUAAUUUUACAAAAUAAAAAAAUGUUUACGUGUUUACAAUCUAUUUUUAUGCCUUUAAGCAUUGUUUUGAAAUGUUGUAAGUCAAUAAAUGUCAUUUUUGUGGUAAAAGUGGUGUCUUUAUUUCACAGUACACAAAAAUGAAUGCAGUAAUGCAUGUUACACUAGUGUAAUAAUUGCUGUGAUAAAGAACACAGCUUUCUAAUACUCUAAUUGCAAUUACAGAACUGUGAUUAUUACUGUAAUAAAGAAUUACAGUAUUUAAUAGUUACUGUUAUUAAACUUACAGUCAGCAUACUGUGGAAUGUUUUACAGCAACAUACUUGCCAAUUGCUGCCAGCAAGUUGCUGUAAAUUUCACAGUAUUCUUUUUACAGUGUGCUUUAAAUUGAUUAUGACACACCAGUACGCUUUAUUUCUCACUUUCACCGAAGUAUGAGGCAGCAAUGUUUUAGAUAGCCCACUUGAAAAUUUUUAGAAUCGUAGAAAACGAAAUACGAGCGUGCUGACCGGGUCAGACUUGCUGAAUUGCUUCUUUUUAAUUAUCUGAAGUCCAAUGUCCAGUAAGACCUUUUACUGUAUAGAUUUCAACUUUGCCCAACAUUAAUGUUUUUCCAUGAUUAAUAUUGCCUCUUUUCUUUAUAGAUGUUUAGUAUUUCUCUAGAAAAUGUCUUCAUUCAAGCUUUUAGUGAAUACAGGAGGACAGGAGGGAGUCACAGAGGUGCUGGAUCCCACGUCCCAAAUGUGGGGGAACCGCUGGUGUCCCCUCUGUUCCACUGACAAAUCUGCCUCUGUUCUCUUGUUUAUAUUACAUUGGAGUGCCAGAUUUUCAUUGUGGACCAUGUGAACCUUGUCUGGUGACCAUUUAUCAACAUAAACCAUAAAAAACAGACUGACGCUUUGACAAACACAUAAACAAAUGAUCAGACAUGUGAAUCAGAGAUAGGUUGCCAUCUUCUGGAUUCUCUGCAAAACUUCACCAGACCUGCUCAUAACACGUCCGUCAUUUCCUUACAUGUCCUGUAAAUGAAUGUUUUGACAGCAAGGUCUGUGAAUCAUGCUGUGGGCAGACUUUAAUUAGCAUCAGUCGUGUUGAAAUGACUGUGGAGUGCAGUCGUCAGUCGGUGACCAGAGUAGCAGUCCAGGUUCUGCGGAUGCACGCCUGCGUUUCCAUGUGAGCGAGUGUGGUGUAAAGGUGCGGUUGUUGAGUAAGUCUGCCGCCACGCUGAGUCGGCACAGGCCCCAGGAAGUGCCAGAAGAUAACGCUGGCGUCCUCUCUCACGCUCGGCGCUGUGGUGGUGGUGUCCAUCAGGCUGGGAGAUGCAGGGAAAACAAGAGCCCUCUGGCCCCUGCUCGCUUGCUUCUGACUGGGCUACCAGGCGAGCAGAGCACCUUUGAGCUUCUAAAAUAUAGCUGAGCCGAGGGGUAGGGAGGCCUCCUUUUUUCUGCCUGCACCCCAAGAUGGGAAGUGUUACAUUGUUUUCAUCAUUUUACCCAUCAAUAGGCUACACCGAACCCCGCCUGCUUACAUAUAUUUGUGCGUGUAUGGGGGGGGGGGGGGGUCUGGUAGAUAUUGUUUCUUUGGUACUGUAGUUAUGAGAGUCCUUAAAAGUGUAGGCAGAAAAAUGGCCCACAGAGCCACUGAAACAACUUAAAGCAUUGAAACAAAAAACUGUGCUCCUCAAAGAGAGAUGAAAACUAAUUUUAACAAUUAUAUUAUGUAUGCCUAAUGUGUCUAAAAUUGAAUUGAAAAAAAAUGUGACAUGAUUUGUUAUGAUUUGGAAUAAAAAUUCACAAACUUCUAGCAUAUUUUAAUUCAUCAUGUUUUUUUUUACAAUUGCUAUUUGUUGUAUGUGCAUAGGAACCAGACUUCUCAACUAAUUUGAUAACUCUAUGCUACACUAUAGAAAGGUAAAUGUUUA